GAGACACCCUAUGGAGCAGGAGUUGCUUCAGUGGGGCUUUGGUGCUCACUGAGUCUGCCCCUUAGUGUGUCACA
Molecule: non-coding RNA, 74 nt
Organism: Myotis brandtii (Brandt's bat)
Lineage: Eukaryota; Metazoa; Chordata; Mammalia; Chiroptera; Vespertilionidae
Source: Rfam